RNAcentral lists this ribosomal RNA (253 nucleotides) under uncultured bacterium. RNAcentral describes it as "partial 16S ribosomal RNA". It matches the Rfam family "Bacterial small subunit ribosomal RNA", at positions 524 to 776 of the family's 1533-position model. The record is from RNAcentral.
UACGUAGGGUGCGAGCGUUGUCCGGAAUUAUUGGGCGUAAAGGGCUCGUAGGCGGUUUGUCGCGUCGGGAGUGAAAACACUGGGCUUAACUCAGUGCUUGCUUUCGAUACGGGCAGACUAGAGGUAUGCAGGGGAGAACGGAAUUCCUGGUGUAGCGGUGAAAUGCGCAGAUAUCAGGAGGAACACCGAUGGCGAAGGCAGGUCUCUGGGCAUUAACUGACGCUGAGGAGCGAAAGCAUGGGGAGCGAACAGG